UCAUUGAACGGUAAACGUCACACACGUGUCGUCACAUUCUUUUUGGGUGCCCGUAAGGGUUUAAAGAUGGGGCACGUGGAGGAAUAAC
RNAcentral lists this small RNA (88 nucleotides) under Sinobacterium norvegicum. Its description in RNAcentral is "t44". It matches the Rfam family "t44 RNA". Rfam says of the family: This family consists of a number of bacterial RNA genes of between 135 and 170 bases in length. The t44 gene is found between the map and rpsB genes in all species in the full alignment apart from Shigella flexneri. Lineage: Bacteria; Pseudomonadati; Pseudomonadota; Gammaproteobacteria; Cellvibrionales; Spongiibacteraceae. The record is from RNAcentral.